UUUUUUUUUUUUGCGGUGAUGAAUUUAGUUAAAUUAAUUUUUUGUAAAUGAAUUUUUAGAAUUUUAAUGUAUUAUCACUGUUCUAGGGUUCAUAAUGUACCUAGGAAUCAAAUUUGGAGUGUAUGAACCCUAGGAUCAAAUUCAAAAAAAGUCGUAGAAUGCUCUAGGGUAUAUGAACCCUAUAUGAAAUUUGACAAGUGCUAAAUUUACUAUCAAAUUUGACAAGUGCUGAAUUUAGUUUCAAAUAUUAUGAAGAAAAAUGACUUCUUGCAAUCCACUAGCUAGCUUGCAUUUUUCUUCAAGUUCUAUAUUUUUCUUCCUGGUAUAUGCAAAUUUGAAAUUGACAUGUGAUAUGUGGACAUGUGAUUUGGACAUGUGAUAUUUGGAAAAUGAUGGUUAUGUGCGGGGUAAAUGAUCCAAGUGGCCUAUGUUUCCGCGGAAUGUUGAUUCAUUUCCGUUCCGGUGAAUUUUAGGCACUUUAUAUGUCCAUGUUUUAGCAAAGGCCAUGCCAAAAUUUCUCGUGAAAUUCUGCAUGACUUGUGCUAGAAAGUAGGCAUAUCAAGUGCCGGGAUUCACUGUAACCGGAAUGAAACGACAUUCCGGUAAACCAUAGACCUCUUUUUAUGUCAUUACUCAUUUUAUUAUAGUUUAAGAAUUAAACUAUGAGACUUAAUCAUAGGAAAUAUGUCGAACAACGAAGAAACCGGGCCUUCUGACCAUGGUGCAGACGAGAUGGAUUAUGACCAUCAACAUAAGUGGCUCAACUUUUUGUCUCGUAAGCACAAUCAAGGUUUGCAGGGCGGCCACGAUGAUGGUACUAACGCCGACAUCGACACCGAUGGCACCGACACCGAUGACGGUGGUGUGAUUGGCGGGAAAGGCACCGGUGCCGAAGCCGCUAACGAAAAGAAGAAGCAGAGGACACGAAAACCUAACAAACUCGGCAUCGGAAGACUGCUGGUCACAAAGAUGCACCCCGACAAAUUUGAGCCGAUAGAGUCGGAUGAACCUCGCAAGUGCUACAAGAACCAAGUCGGAUGCAUCCUACGGGAAACCGCGAGCAUCAACGACAAUGACUUAAGGAGUAAACAAAUUGGGAGCACUUGCUCCCAAACGAAGCUGCACAAGAGUUUCCAGUUCCCCGAACGGAAUGACCGCAUUGAAGAGCCGUGGGAUGAUCCUGCCAUGAAAAAGAUUAACAACCACACCAUGGGCAUGUUCAACAAUGAUUUGGCCUCUUAGAAAGGGAGGGUGAAAUGAGCUAUCGAGGCUAAUGAACCCCUGUCCAAGAUUCUGGAGGAAAAUCCGACACUUACGGAAGAGGAGUUCCAAAAGUUCAAGGACACUUGCGCUACCGACGCAACCAAGGCUAAGUCGGAGAAAUUCAAGGGGCUUCAGCAAAGGAACAUGGGGAACCAACGCCUCGGAAGCUGUGUCUACCUUGGCAAAAGACCCAUAUGGGAUAAGGAGGACGCGGAACGUGAAGCCGCGGGGAUCCCAGACCCCUUUGUGCAAUUCACCGACCCCUUGGAGCGUGACUUCAUUAGGGCCCAGUACAAGUGGGACAAGGAAAAGAAGGUUUUUUACAUGGACCCGAUCACGACAAAAUUGAUUCGAAUACUGGUAAUUAUUCUUUUACCACCUUACAUUUAGCUUUUGAUCAAGUCGACUACACAUUCGUAAAUGGUUCACGUUCCUUUUGUGGGAGAAGCAACACAUGCUUGCAGCCGAAAGCGAGUCUUCAUUGAUGAGGUCCAAGUGGGACACCCCUCUCAACCGGACCUUGAACGACCUGAAGGGACUCCCUUUGGACCAGCCGCCGCAAUAUGGACGUGUGCACGGCAUCGGAUAUGGCGCCACGUGGAAGGUCUAUUACAACGAGGGCCCGGAGGCCAAGAAGUAGAAACAAAAGUUCAGUCAGGCGGACAUCGGCGCGAAGGUGAAGCUUGCGUUCGACAAAAAAGCUGUUGAGGAUGAGAAAAAAGCAGCUCAGGAGAAAAAUGAGUUGGUCCAACAGGCAGUCGCUGCAGCUUUAGCUGCCUGCAGAAAUGAUUUGGCUACUAACUUGAUCCUAACUGUCAUCAAUUGGAUGAAGGAAAAUCCAGAAAAGAUGGCACAUGAUUUUCCCAUGCCCAGCUUCGUCGGGAGCAACUCGGUGAACAUCACAAUGACACCAUCACCUGCUCUCGCAACCGUGCCAGCUCCCGCACCUGCACCCACACCAGCUCAUAGCAGCGUGUCCUCUGUCUCUAGCGUGCUAGGAGGGCCUUCAUCUUUGGCUAUGCUUGACGCCCUCACGAUAACUACACGUUGCACCAACAUAUAUCUAGAAUAUUCCGUUUUCGUUGCCUUUCGGAUGUUUUACGCCGCAGACAUGUCUUUGUAGGCCGACGAAACCCCAUGCACCGUACUCUACGUGAUCAAAGGCCAGAAGGUGGACGUGGGAAAGGCAGUGAUAAUGAAGCCCUUGGAACUCAUGUUCCAGGGCAAGCCGAUCCCCGUUGGCACCUUCAGGGUUAACUUGUCGAGUGUGAAAUCGGGGCACGAGGAUUUGCCUCCUCUAGUACGGCUCGGGGGAGAGGAGGACGAGACCCCGAUGCGGCUUGGAAACUACAAGGGUUGGAUGUUGCUAUGGCCGAAGAAUCUUCUUCGUCUGGAGACAGCCGAGAGCACACCAAUAACCACACAUCAGCAAGCAGGUAUGAACACCACCACCCCGCCUACGCAAUUACCAGCGCCUGUAGUGCCGGGUGAGAACGAUAGACAACGCGAGGAAGGGGGUCCAGUAGUGGAUGAUGUAGUCGCCCCCGUAUAAUAAAGAAUGGAUGAUGAGAUGGACGAGGAUGACCCUCUUCGGUUCCUCAAUAUAGGUGCCUAUGACAACGACGUAGAAAUGAUGAGUCAGCCAUAUGACUCGGGCUAUCAGCAUGCUGAUGAGGAGAUGGAUGAUGUGCCCGGGAAGGAACAUCCUAGGGUUGAUUGCAAGAAGUCUCUUCAAGCAAUCCUCACAGGACACGCUUGAAGAUGCCGCCUUAACGCAAUGUCAACUAGCCAAGGGUCAUACAAUGCUUAGCCCGACAACACUGGUGGCGGGGUUAAGGAAGGGUCUGGAAGGUCAUCCCAAUAAAAAGGAGAGGAAGAUACCAUCGAAGAAAAGCUCUGGUGCCGCCAAAGCUGCCAAAGCUUCUAGCAGCCAGGCGACCAAUUUUGCAGACUGUGUAUCGGUCAAAGUUGUGGCGGUCUUCCAUGUCAUGGGCAAGCCAAUCCUACCGCUGAAACCACUGGAGGGCAUAUCAGGGGAUCUCAGGAGACUGCACGACCAUGUGCUGUCGACUGAGAAAAGCCUUCUAGCCUUGAAGGAUCUAGGAUAUCUGCUAUACACAGUUUGUGUGCCUGAGGGGAAGUGCUACGUUGACACACUGCCCACAGAGGUGUUCUUCCUGUGCUUUGAUUAUAUCUUUGAUAUGUUUCUCACAAGGCGGCUCGAUUUUACAAUCGCCCACCUUUUUGCGCUACAUAUGAACUUUGUCAUCACGGGAGAACAAAUCUCGCAAAUCUGUGUGGCGGAUCCAUACUACAUGCAUGAGUGCUUCUUGAGUCUCGGCGACUUUGAGCGUAAAACUGCUAGGGAGUACAUCGAAAACUUCAUGAUAAGGAAUAAGGACAAGGAAACGGUCCUCCUGCCUUAUCAUCCAAUGUAAGUCAGUGUUGGACAACCCUUUUGUACAUUUCAAUCAUUCCUUCUUGCUCAUAUGGAGAAUCAUUUGAGGUGUUUUUUCCUGCAGCAAUGCGCGCACCGUCCUUAUAGUUCUUUUCUCACGAGUCUCCCAUGCCGUGUAUUUCGACCCUUCCAAAAACUACGAGAAGAAGGACUACACCCACAUAAUGGAUAUUCUAGAUGAUGCUCUACACGGCUUCAGCAUGAGGGGUGGCCACCUCGAGAUCGGGAAACAAAGGAACCGCAAGCCAGGUUUCUUGCAUAAAACUAACUUUUGCGGGAUCCAUCAACCAACAUCAAGCAGAAAUGAUGGAUUCUACCUCCUCCAUCUCAUGAUAGAGUUUGAAAGGGAUCACCAAUAGCUUCGCAUGAGAACCAAAAACGAUGAACAUAUCCGCAAAUGGGCAAAAUCCCUAGGAGAAGAAUCAGAAUCAGAUUAUAAACUUAGAAAUGACUUCUUUCGCAUCCAAAGGGACAUUGCAACGAUCGUCAUGAAAGAAGUCGUCGAGAAGAAUUGGAUGUUCUACCAUGGCCCUAUAUCGCGAGCUAACAUCCUAACUUGCAUAGGCCUACAACGUCAGGACCUAACGCCAUUAAAGAAGCUAGGGUGCAUCCUCGAUGAUCUAGAUGGAUGGAACUUCUAGUAAUGAUUGACGAUGCUGAUGAUGAUGUGUCGGUUGAACUGGUACUUGAUGUAGCGAUCAAACUUUGUGAUGUAAGUGGUGCAUGUCGAACUUGCGUAAUGCUAGUUUGUUAGUUUGAGUACGAUGACCUGCAUAACUCUAGUUAAUUAGUUUGUGUAUGAUGGACCUGCGUUGAUUAAUUAUGUUUACUAUAUGUUGCAUCUAUUUGCUAACACCCUUUAUUUUUGUGUUGCUCAAUUAUAUUAUGUUGCAGAUUUUUGUUGAUUCUCUUCAUGAAGAUGCAUCUCUAACAGGUACAUAGAUCCUUGAUGGCAAAGAAGUGCUAUGUCGUGUACAUAGGGAAGAUUCCAGGAGUGUACGACGAGUGGCCCGAGUGUCAGGCUCAAGUGGAGCGGUUCUCAAGCGCCAGCCAUAAAGGGUUCGAUAGCAGACAAGAAGCAGAAGUUAGUUACUUGAGGUUCACGCUAGCGCGAGAGAGGAAUCAGAACCGCCGCCUCAUGUAUUGCAUAGUUCCGCUCUCACUCAUAGUGAUAGCUCUUCUCUUCUACAUGAUUGUUUAGAUGGACGACGAUGUAUAGUUGCAAGUAUUUGAGGCAUGUCAUAACUUGUAUCGUUAUUUCGAGAUGAUGACAAGAGACAUCAUUUUGUGUUUGAUGAUGAUUAUGAUGGUGACAUGAUUUGAUGAGACUAUUUGUAUGUGUAUGAUAUGAUUAGAUUUGCAUGUGUAUGAUAUGCUAGAGACUAAUGUAUAAAACCUGUACAAAUACAAAAGAAAAUAUGUAGCAGAAAAAAAUUAGAAACUAAUAACAGUAUCGCGGGGUAUGAUUUUAGCAGCAGCGAGAGAUUAGCAGUAGUGCACUUUAAAACAGGGCGCUACAGCUAUUAGCAACAACGCAUUCUUGUAACACAUGCUACUUCUACCUCUAGAUAGCAGUAGCACGGGCCAACACACGCUACUACUAAUUAAAAGUUAGCUGUAGCGUUGUAGCAGUAGUGUGGCCACCCACGCUACCGCUAGGCAUUUGACCCGCGCUACUGCUAGGCUUUUUCCUAGUAGUGUAAGUCGGUGCAAUAGGAGCCAUGUUUGUGUCUACGAAAUUCUAAUAAAACAUUAACGAGAUUGGGUAUUUGAUCUGAGUUGUCCGCUGGCCUAAAUGCACUAACCGUCAUGCGGGACAAUGUAUGAGUUGAAGAGUUACUCUCAUUAGAAGGUGGGCACGGGUAGCUAAUCCACUUUUCCUCCUUUUGUUCUUCGCCCUCCUCAUCAUCUUUUUCAUCUAAUGAGCUCACUGUAUCAUCAAUUUCUUCUUCCAUAGUUUCCUGUAAAAUAUUAGUGUCUUCUUGGACAUCGGAGACUUUCUCAAUAAAACCAUUAAUAUCGGCAUUAUAUUCAUAAUUCUCGUAGCAAUAUUUAAGUAUAGCAUAAUUUUUAGGUCUGUAAACAACAUCAUCAUCAUUUUCACACUUUGCAAACAAAGAUUCAAUUUCGUAAGCACCCUUAAAAGCAACAAAUUCUUCUAUUUGUUCCACAUCAUAGUAAUCAUACAUACCAUUAGCAUAAGAAGCCAAGGUUUCAUUACCACUAAAUUUACAUGAAAAGGGAAGGUGUGGAGCCUUCAUCCUAGAGCAAUAAGUAUAAUCAUAUCUCAAGCAUAAAUUCCAAGAAUACCAAUGCAACAUAUGAAUUUGAUCCCAUAACAGUUUCCCUUUUUGCAUCAAGCAAGAAUCCCUAAAGUAUUCACGUUGAUCCAACGUAUCUCCCAUUAUCAAGUUGAAUGGGGUUUUCUCAGGAUUAUCAUAGUGUUUAAUAUUUUUCACAUAACGAGCAUCGAGGGUUUUAGGAGGUUCCCCAUCUCCAUGAGUAGCAAAUACACCUAAUUUUUUUUGGUAUUUCAUGUUCCAAAUCCAUAACUAAAGAUAGAUAACAACUAAGAACAAGAAAUAAAAUCUACUUAGUGAUAGAGCAAACAAGCACACAUGAGAAUAUUCACCCAACGCUAUUGCUCCCCGGGAACGGCGCCAGAAAAAGGUCUUGUUAACCCACAAGUGUAGGGGAUCAAUUGUAGCCUCUUUCGAUAAGUAAGAGUGUCGAACCCAACGAGGAGCUAAAGGUAGAACAAAUAUUCCCUCAACUUCUAUCGAUCACCGAUACAACUCUACGCACGCUUAACGUCGCUUUACCUAGAACAAGUAUGAAACUAGAAGUACUUUGUAGGUGUUGUAGGAUAGGUUUGCAGGAUAGUAAAGAGCACGUAAAUAAAAACUAGGGUCUAUUUAGAUAAAUAAACAAUUAAGUUAGUAUAUUGAGUGUGAAAAAGUGGUGGUAGGAGUUGCGGAAUUGUCCCUAAGCAAUUGACUACGUUACUAGACCGAUAGCAAGUUUUAUGUGGGAGAGGCCACUGCUAGCAUGUGAUCCCUUACUUGGAAUUCUAUGCACUUAUGAUUGGAACUAUUAGCAAGCAUCCGCAACUACUAACGUUCAUUAAGGUAAAACCCAACCAUGGCAUGAAGAUAUAUUGGUCCCCCUUCAAUCCUGUAUGCAUCAAUUACUAUGCUAGGAUGAAGCUACUGUCACCCUUGCCCUCCAAUACAUAGUCCUAUCAACAUACAACUAACCCUAUGGUGUUAUCCACACGCACGCUCAUAUGAUGGGAACCAAAGAACAGCAACAUAACCACAAGAAAACUGAACCAAUCAUAGCAAUUCACCAAUUACCGAUAGGACAACAAAAAUCUACUCACACAUCAUAGGAUGGCAACACAUGAUUGGAUAAUGAUAUGAAGCAUAAAGAACCAUGUUCAAGUAUAGGGUACAGUGGGUUGCGGGAGAGUGGACUGCUAUAGAUAGAUGGGGGAAGGUGAUGGAGGUGUUGGUGAAGAUGACAGAGUUGUUGGAGUAGAUCGCCGUCACGAUGAUGGCCCCGGCGGCGUUCCGACGCCACCGAGAGAGAGGGGGAGAGAGACCCCCUCCUUCUUCUUCUUCUUCCUUGACCUCCCUCCUAGAUGGGAGGAGGGUUUCCCCUCUGGUCCUUGGCCUCCAUGGCGGCGGAGGGGAAAGAGCCCCUCUGAGAUUGGAUCUCUCUCUAUGUUUCCUUCUGUUUCUGCAUUCCCUGUUUCUGGCCUUUCACUGUUUCUUAAAUUCCCGGAGAUCCAUAACUCUGAUUGGGCUGAAAUUUUAACACAACUUUUAUUCUGAUGUUAUCUUUCUUGCGGCCGAAGAAGGGCACUAGCUGCCUUACAGGGUGACCACAAUCCUCCCAGGCACGCCCAGGGUAGGGGGCGCGCCCCUAGGGCUUGUGGGCCCCUCGGGCAUCGUCUCGUGUUGAUUCUUUUUUCCAAAAACCACAUAUAUUCCAAAAGAAUCUCUGUAAGUUUUUAUCGCGUUUGGACUCCGUUUGAUAUGGAUAUUCUGCGAAACAAAAAACAUGUAACAAACAGGAACUAGCACUGGGCACUGGAUCAAUAUGUUAGUCCCAAAAAUAACAUAAAAAGUUGCCCAAAGUAUAUGAAAGUUGUAGAAUAUUGGCAUGAAACAAUCAAAAAUUAUAGAUACGGCGAAGACGUAUCAAAGUGCCACAAACAACCCUAGAGUUCGUACUAGAAUAACACCAUAUGAUACGCAUCAAUCAAUUCUAAUAUCACCUAGAUACUCCAAUGUCACCACAAGUAUCUGUGAGUUAAUUAUUAGACAUGCAUCAAACAAUUUCAGAUUCAUAACAUUCAAUCCAACACAAAAACUUCAAAGAGUACCCCAAAGUUUCUAUCAGAGAAAGUAGGACGAAAAUGUGUAUCAACCUAUGUGCCUAGAUUACCAAAAUGUCACCACGGGAAUUCGCAAGUUGAUUACCAAAACAUAUAUCAAGUGACUCAAUAGAAUACCCCGAUUAUCACCACGGGUAUCUGAUACGUCUCCAAAGUAUCUAUAUUUUUUUAUUAUUCCAUGUUAUUGUAGUAUCAAUCUUGGAUAUUCAUUAUGCAAUUAUAUAUCAUUUUUGGGACUAACCUAUUAACCUAGUGCCUAGUGCUAGUUGUUGCUUUUUGCUUGUUUUGGCUUUUCAAGAAAUCGGUACCAAACGGAGUCCACGCUAUGAAACUUUUUGACAUUUUUUUCUAGACCAGAAGGGACCCUGGAAGCUUCGGGAGAAGACAUGCGGAGCCACGAGGGAGCGACAAGCCCACAGGGUGCGCCCACCAGGCUUGUGGGCCCCUCGUGGCAUCUCUUCACCUAAUUCCACUUCUAUAAAUUCCCAAAUAUUCCCAGUACAACAAAGAGCCACCCUUGACAAGCCACAAGUUUCUGUUCUUCGGAGAUCCCAUCUGGAGACCUUUUUCGGUACUCUGUCGGAUGGGGAAUAGAUCACGGAGGGCCUCUAGAUCAACCUUGCUGCCCUUCUGAUGAUGUGUGAGUAGUUUACCACGGACCUAUGGGUUCAUAGCUAGUUGCUAGAUGGCUUCUUCUCUCUCUUUGAUCUUCAAUACAAUGUUCUCCUCUAUGUUCUUCGAGAUCUAUUCGAUGUAAUCUUGUUUUGCGAUGUGUUUGUUGGGAUCCGAUGAAUUGUGGAUUUAUGAUCAGAUUAUUCAUGAAUGUUAUUUGAGUCUUUUCUGAAUUCUUAUAUGCAUGAUUGUUAUAUCUUUGUAUUUCCCUCUGAUCUAUCUGCUUGGUUUGGCCAACUAGAUUUAUGUAUCUUGCAAUGGGAGAGGUGCUUUGUGAUGGGUUCGAUCUCGCGGUGCUCAAUCACAGUGACAGAAAGGGGCAUGACACGUAUUUGUAUCGUUGCCAUUAAGGAUAAAAAGAAGGGAUUUAUUCAUAUUGAUUGGGUUUACUUUGUCUACAUCAUGUCCUCUUGCUUAAGGCGUUACUCCGUUCUUUAUGAACUUAAUACUCUAGAUGCAUGCUGGAUAGCGGUCGAUGUGUGGAGGAAUAGUAGUAGAUGCAGGUAGGAGUCGGUCUACUUAUCUCAGACGUGAUAUCUAUAUACAUGAUCAUUGCCUUGAAUAUUGUCAUAACUAUGUGCUUCUCUAUCAAUUGCCCAAUAGUAAUUUGUUUACCCGUCGUACGCUAUGUUCGAGAGAGAAGCCUCUAGUGAAAACUAUGGCCCCCGAGUCUAUCUUUAUCAUAUAUUAAAAUCCAAAAAUACCUUGCUGCAAUUUAUUUACCGUUAUAUUAUUUUGUGUUUUUGUUUAUCUAUCUACCAUUAUCAGACUUGAUCCUUGCAAGUAACUGUCGAGGGGAUUGACAACCCCCUUGAUCACGUUGGGUGCAAGUAUUUGUUCUUUUGUGUGUAGGUGUUGUUCACGAGGUCUUGCGUGGUUAUCCUAUUGGAUCGAUAACCUUGGUUCUUAACUAAGGGAAAUACUUAUCUCUACUUUACUGUGUCAUCCUCUCCUCUUCGAGGAAAUACCAACAUAGCUCACAACUAGCAGUAUCCACAUGCAAGACAUACAUCAAAGUGAUCUCAAAUCCAUUAUUAAAUCUGAUAAUAACGGAAUCUCAAAGGAAAAGACUCAAUUCAUCACAACAAGAUAGAGAGGGAAGAACACCAUAUGAUCCAACUAUAUUAACAAAGCUCGUGGUACAUCAAGAUCGUGCCAAAUCAAGAACAUGAGAGGGAGAGAGAGAUCAAACACAUAGCUACUGGUACAUGCCCUCAACCUCGAGGGUGAACUGCUCAUCAUGGAGAUCACCGGGAUGAUGAAGAUGGCCUCCGGUGAUGAUUCCCCCCUCCGGUAGGGUGCCAGAAAAGGCUCCAAAUGAGAUCGCCUCGGUACAGAGAAUUGCUGCACCGACGUGAAAUUUAUAGGUUUAUUCUGAAGAUUUCCCAAUUUAUAAGAAUUUUUGGCAUGGUUUCACGUUAGGGGGGUCCCGUGGGACCCAUGAUCUCAGAGUACACUCCCUACCUCUCAGGGCGCAUGGGGUGAGCUCGUGACUCCCUCGUCUAUGUUUUGAUCCUUCCUCGAAGCUUCGGGGGUCUCUUAUGUUCCAAAAAAAUGACCGUAAAUUUUUGUGGCAUUUGGACUUUGUUUGGUAUGAAUUUUCUACGAAACAGAAAAUAGCCAAAAAAAACAUAAACUAGCACUUGGCACUAGGUCAAUAGGUUAGUUCCCACUAAUCAUCCAUGGCAGCGCCGGUCACUAGCUCACUUAGAUCACGGGUUAGUGAAAUUUAUGAUAUGAGUGAGGGCUGAGAGUGAGCGGGAUGGGGGUUGUUCUAUUCGGUUAUGGUUGUCUGAGUGGAAUAAUUUCUAUAAUUUAGAGAACAUGGCAAAUUGCAUUUCAUUAGAGAUGGCUUUGCAGCAAAUUGCAUGAGCGAGUGGUUCAUAUAUUAUUUUGCCAAGUCAUACAACUUUUUGGUUAGGAUAGAAGGGUCAUCAUUCGUCGGUUGCUUCAAGAGUUAAUAACGGACGCCGUGGCAUAUCAGUUGCAUGCCAACAAGGAACAUUUUAUAUUUUGUUUCAUGGUAAUGCACGACAUUCAACUGUAUGUUACAACGUGGAAAUGGUGACGGAGACAUCGGAUUUGUCUUCUUGGCUCGGGGGGUGUCAUGGGCGGCACAUGCCUCAUCUCCUUUUAUGGCGGUGACGGAUCGUUACGAACAUGGGGGUAGGGGAUCAGGGCGGAGAACGGGACGGUUGGUGGGGGACUCCUUGGCAGUCUGUGGGGAGGUACGGUGUAAAAGAGAGAGGGCACCAUGAUGAAGGUGAGGUGGGCAUCAUCCAACUUUAAAGGAGAGGGCUCCAGCGAUAAAUGUCUCGCUCCGAUAGAAAACCAAGUGGGAAGGGGAGGGUCCGGCAGGAAAAAGGAAUGGUGCAUUGUGGGGUGGUUUUUUUGUGUUCGGGCCACGUGUUGAAGAUGAUAUGGCGGAUAGUCCGGACAAACACAUUUCCACCCCACAUAUGGGAUGGAUUCGGAAGUCUGGACUGUCCAGACGGUUCGAUUUGGAGCCCGCUGGGUGCCCCUUUGAUGUCCGAAUAUGUCCAGACAUAUGAGGAAGAAAUGAGCUUUGACUUUGAAGACGACCUUAAUCAUUUAUUUGAUUUAUCUAUAUGCAUUUUAGCCCGUAGUAACGCACGGGAGUUCUACUAGUAUUAUUAAAACAAAGCUCUAAUGAUCAGGUGUGUUAAGUUUAUUUUUUUUUCAAAACUCUUCCUAAUAAUAUUGAAAUCACCACCUAUCACACAUGGUAAAGUGCUUCUCUGAUAAAUCUUAGAAAGUUCAGCUAAAACCCAAUUUUUCUCUCAGGUUGAUCAGCCCCAUAAACAGUAAUUGAAUUCCAGGCUAGAUCUAUUUUUUUCAUACACUAACACUAACAAAAUAAUACACAUGUUCAGAAUCCAAAACCUCCAAAGAAUCAUUAUUAGCUGUCACCAGAAUACCUCCAGACUUCCCUCUAGAAGGAGCCCAAUGCCAUUUAAAGUUUUUUUCCUCCACAAAAGGAGUGCAAUUCCUUAUUAGAUAAGUGGUCCUUCAUGGUAUCAUGAAUUCCCACGAAGUCUAAAGAGUAAUACACUACACUCUCUUAUAAAUCUUUUUCUAAUCUCCCAACCAAUAUAUCCAACAUUCAAAAUAAACCUUUCAUUAGGAGUUUUUAUGUUUUUAUAUUCUUGAUAGCAUACCUAUUUACAGGUAUGCCUUCUUUUAGCCUAACAAUUGCGGGCAAAAAGGUCCCUAUUUUUCUUAGAGGGAAAACUUGUUUCAGUUCUCUAAGUAUAUUUUUCUCCAACUCAAUGACGGGGUUAUCUCUGUCAGAACAUAACUCAUUCAAGUCAACAUCUCUAGUAGUGAUAUCAUGACUAGAAAGCAUAUCUAAUCUAGCCAUCUCGAAUUUCCUCAUAAUCUCUAGGUUAUGUCCAAUCAAAUCCAUAGUACAUCCAUUGCAAUAAGACAUAGUCAAAAGGGAGGGGUUAUUAAGUCUAAAAGAUCAAGAAAAGAUUCAUUGCCAUAAUUAUAUUUUGAUGUUGCCCUCUCUUUAGCCAUGUCCUCCACUCUAACAUCUUCCCUGUCUAUGAGCCUAGGGGCCAUCCUCACCAUUCUCCUCCACUUGACCAUGGCACUAUUGGACCACGGUGGUCAAUAAUGCCUGUAAUUUUCUUUAUUACGGUUCCAAAGGACUCCUAUGAAGAUACAAUAUCGGUCUGACUAGCAUUGUAAUCAACAUGUUCCAAAUAGUUAUCUCUUGUGUCACCAAUCUUUUCCUCCAUACAAUUUUCUAGUUCAUCCUCUCCUUCUUCCCUAGGAGGCACAUCACCUUUAUUUUUAUUAGCUUCAUUCUUGUCUAAGACCUAUUGUAGUAAUUUCUGCAAGUGCUUGUUCUGCUUCUCAAGUUCCACUUGUAGCUUACUUUUUUCAACUUCAUCGUCUCCCAUUAUUUUUCCAUCCAUAGCAAUUUGAACAGCUUGUCUAGCUUUCUCUUCCUCCACCUAUUUCUUUCUAGCAGUUAACUCUACUCAUCCACUAAACCAUCAGUUGAGGGGUCUGUCACUAGCCACUUUUCAUGCUUCUACAUUAUUUUUGUCAACAUUCAAAGCCUCAUAAGCCAAAGAAAGACUUCCCAAUUUGAUAAUCUCCUUCUUAGCUUCUGACCCUUUAUUUUUCUUAGGCAAUCUUCUCUCAUCGGUAUCAUCUUCUUUAGGGUUAUGCAGUAGACUAUCAUCUCCACCUCUCUUUCCAGGCCUAGAAAACCAACCCUGCUCCGCCACUAUCUCAACCUCAAAGGUCAUUCUAGAAACCCAAAGCUCUCUUGUAGUUAUUUCAGUAGAACCAUGAAUCUUCUUCGGGUCUCUCAUCCCAAGUUUCACCCUAACAAAUUCACUACCAAUUGAAUCCGUAUCAUUCUCAAUCACCGUUCCAAAGAGAGGUCCCCAAUUCACACAUUCAACCACUUGAUAUUCAGCUGGAGUUACAUGUCUAUAUGGGGAGCUUAUAUAGUGUCGUGUACCUGACAAAUGAUCAAGGCCAUCCUUAAAAAAAGGAGGUGUGUGGGUAGAGAGCUGGGUCAUUUGUGUCCUUUGAAGACCUCUAAUUGGGCUUGGAGGUGUGUUGUAGUCCAUUAAUGAGGGCAUUUCCUAUACUGCGUGUUAAGCACCUGUAUUUUGCAACUUGGCGUACACCCCCUCCACUCUAGGCCGACACAUCUACUCCUUUUUUUUCUUCUGUUUUUAACCCCCAAAAAGGGCGCUAGGUAUGAUUCGAACCCACGACCUCCGCGCCUAGUUUAGCUAUGGUAGUCAACCAAACACCCACUAUGAUGUGAUUAGUUACAUCUUUUUUACUCUUUCUUCUUUCUUUUGCUUUUCUGUUCCUUAUUUCUUUUCUUUUUUUCAAAAUGCGUGAACUUUUUUUAUCAAAAUCAAUGACCUUUUCUCAAAUCUAUGAACUUUUUCCAAAAUCAAAUUUCCUGAUACUUUUUUUAAAUUGGUAAUUUUUAAAUUAGUAAGCUAUUUUUAAAAAUCCAUAAACUUUUUUUCAAAUUCGAUGAACAUUUUUCCAAAUUAAAUGAACUGUUUUUUUUUCAAAAUCGAUUAACUUUUUCCCCAAAUUCGUGACAUUUUUUAAGUUUGUGAGCUUUUUUAAAAUCAGUGAACAUUUUCGAAUUCACAAAAUUUUUGGAUUUUUUUGUGCUUUAUAUUUUCGCAUUAUUUCCAAAGGUCAAUGGUUGACUGAUGAAAUGCCCAUUUGAUUAUGUGCGUGGGUACCAAGAAGCUCAACCAGCGCCUAAGGUGCCCAAUAGGAGGUUCCAUUAAUGUGGAUAUCCCCACAUACUAUUUGAAGGCCUCCUUGCUUGGAGUUGGGCCUCAUGUUUGCCACAAUUUUUUUUAGAAUUGUUUUUCAAUUUUUUCAUAUUUUACUGUUCAUGCUGAGACCAUAAGAGCUCAAACUUAGACGGGGACUUUCCAACAGUUUUGUCAUCAAUGCUAAUGACAUGCACAUAUAGGUGAUGUUGGCAAAAGCAUAAGAGGAGCGAAGUGGCUUGGUCAGAACUCAUGUUUUUUUGAAAAUUAGGGAUAAAACUGCUGAGUCAGACACAACUAAGGGCAUAAAACUAAUUAUUUCUUUUAUUUUGGACCCUAGUAAGUGUCACACAUGUGGCAUGAAUACAUGGCAACUCCGAACAAUUUUUAUAUUUGAAUGGUAACUUUUAAGUCUAACCUUCAAUUAGGUACUCCCGCGCUAUCAGGCAUGAACACGACAAUUAAAUUGUACGAAUGAAGUUGGCACAAACGCAUGACAACUCCGAACGUUUUAGGACCCUGAUAAUGCUUUAUACCGUGACCCUUGUUUGGCACAAGUUCUGUAUAGAUUAAAUUGUACGAAUGAAGCUUGCAACUUACUAGAAUAUGCAAAUGAUCAAUGAAAACAAGCGAUCUGCUACUAGUGAUGAGUUAGACCUGGCAAAUUGUGAACCGAUUUCCUUUACCUGUGAUAGGCAACAUUGCUAGAGUGCUAAUCACUGUGUAAACUAACAUAAACAUUACAGAGGGAGUGCAUUUGUUAGCCACAUAAGAGAAUUCAACGCAACCAAGACGACGGAAAACUCUGUCCUUUAUACUGGUGUAAUUUACAUCUCUGACGCUAAGAGAGAGAGCUCAACUUGCUACAUAUGUACAACCUCAGAAACUUUGUUUCCGAGAGAAAGAAUAUAGCUACCAACAAAGAGCAAAAACGCAGCAACUGUAGCUUGCCAAUACUUGCUUUAUCUACAGAAACAAUUGAUCGGGACACGGAACCUUUUGGCUAAAACAGCAGCCCUAGCUCUGUGCAAUGACAGAAAAUUUAUCAAUCCUGCGACGUUGCCGAGUACUCAAAGAGAAGCCGAUUGGACGGUGUGGAUUGGAAGAUUACGCGGAGUCUACUGGUUAGCUGGUAUAUCAGCGACCACUGCAUCGCCAUUUCUGAAUCUUUCAUUUGCCUCACAACAGAGGCCUGCAUAACGACGGUGGUAAUCCAGAUCAGUUUCUAUUCGUGCAGCACACUGCGCAGUUUGGCUCAAAUUGUUUAUUAAGCUUUCAGGAAGACAUAAAAGAAUCAUACCUGAACGCGUUUUCCAAGCUGCACUUCGACCUCCGUAGCAAAAGAGAUAUUGUUUGCCAGUGAUUUGAGUGGAUCAACCGUUGGAUCUACGGACAACAAACUUGGAAUCUGUGGAGCAUAAACCAUCCGCCACCGUGCUUGUCCAAACUCACCCUUGCCUUCGAUUCUUGGCAUCAAAGUUUCUAGUGUUGCAGUUGCGAGUUUCUUGAAUGCAAGCUGUCCGUCACCUUCCAAUAGCGACUCCGCAAGCUGCGACUCAAAAACCUUUGCGGCCUAUAGCACAGCAAGAAACCAGAGUUGUAAGAGUUACACAUAAUUAGGAAAACAAAAUAACUCAGGCUCAGUUAAGUCAAUGUUUUAAUCUCCUUAUUCCACUCUUGAGUAGAGAACUGGCAAGCAACCAGCAAAAGGCAGAUUUAGCUAAUCAUAAAAACUGUUCAAUUUUUUAAGACAAGAAAUUAAAUCAUGAGAUUAUCAGGACUACAGCAAAGUUAAGCUGUAACUCAUUUGUAGAUGUAUCUUACCUCACUAGGUGACAGAACAUCCUGGUCCACGGAGCGAGUCGAGGUUACAACCAGAUUAUCUUGCCACAUGCUGGCUCGACUCAUGAUUUUGAAUUGCCAUUCAGAUCCAACAAGGACGAGAUCCAGAACAGGAUCUAAACCAAGAUCAGGCUCAAACUUUGCUACAUUUAAAUGGUCACUUUUAAGUCUAACCUGCAAUCAGGUACAGAAAUGUGAAGCAACUCAUCAUAAACCAUUUUCAAACUGGGAAAGAAAAAUGAACUUGUGCCAAACAAGGGUCAAACUAUAAAGCUUACCUGAGUAGCUACCAAGUUGACCUCACCAUUUUCAAAUGUUAAUAUACCCUUCGGCCUUAUGUACUUUGGAUGUACCAUGCCAUUAAGCUCAAGGUCACCACUGACAGCAAAAUUCAGAAUUAAAGGAUAAACAAUUCUUAAUUCUGGUCCCAGCGUGAGCUUCAAGUCAUUGAGUCGGGCAUCAAUGUUUGGCUUAAAACUUCCAUUCUCAAGAGUCCUUUCUGUUUCUGUUUGUUGACCAACGAUGCAAAAAAUUGAAAGCUCCAGUAAACCCAUAAAGAAAAUUAGAAAAACAGCAGGACAGAGAGAGGGAGAAGCAUACGCUUCUUUUAGAUAUUCACAUCAAAUGUAACGAAUUGUCACAUGUAACCAGUUAACUAGUUAAGCUAUAUGUAUCGGUCAAGCUUUGCUGUGAAAUAUUAGUGAAUGUCAAAUUAAUGGAAUACGUACUAUCUGGCGAAGUUGACAAUGCACCCAGGAAACGUGAGACAUCCUGCGAAGUAGUUGUUUGACCAAAACCAGCAAGAAGAUAGCUGGACUUGUUUGAAGCCAACCUAGUCGCCACAGCACCAUUGCCUUUAUCAUGAGGCAAAUAUGCUUCACCAUGGGUUAACCGGAUCAUCCCAGAGACAUCUGGCCGCAAUAUUGAGCCUGUAACCUGCAGCUGGCUGUCUACUUGGCCACUGUACAAAUCAAAACAAAAACAGUUUAGCAAAUGAUAAGAAGACAUAAUUUGGGAUCCUACAUAUUGCAUGUUCAAUAUGAAUUUAUGAGAUGCUUUUCAGGUUUUGGCACAGUACUGUUAACUGUUUCCAUAAACCAGCUUUAGAAGACAAUCAACCAGAUCGUGGGGUGCUUUACAUCACUCAGAAGCUGCUAGUCAGAAACUAAGCUUCAACAUAUAGUACAGAAAUCAAAAAGGAUAAAGUAGAAAUAAUUACCUUAAAACAUUUUUUGCUCGUAUAUCCAGAACUUCACAUUUCAACUCAAUCUUAUCACUGGCUGAUGGCUCACUAUUUUGCAGAGGUAGAGUCCCUUUCAUUGACAAUUUUCCCUUCCUCCCAACCCUGCUUUCCAUGGAAUUGAUGAAUAGUCUGUUGGAUAUAACAUUAACAUUACCAGCGAAAUUUGUAAGCGGCGUCCGAAGGAAAGGAGAAGUCACAGUUGCUCGGUGAAAUGAUGCAGACCCAUCAACAACAGGUUGAUCAACAGUGCCUUUAACCUUCCAUCAAAAUGGCAAAGAAAAGAGGAGGAAAAUGUUAAUCAACUGCUUCAUGUUAGAUCCAAAAUAAAAUAAAAAACUGUGGAUUCCACAGGUGGAACAAAGAACUACCUAUAAAAGACAACAUUUAUGCUUCAUAGUUUAAAUCAACAGAUAUUUUCAUCAAUCACAAUUAAUCUAUGAAAAAGAGCAAUAUGUUACGUUGUCCUUAGUGGAAUUAUGGGAAUUAAAAAAGGAUGGGCCACCUGAAGGAGCACAUCAGCAUAGCCUUGAAGCCAGUUUGCAUAAGGACUAAGUGCAGUUAUCAACAUCAUGCCACCAUCCUUUAUAUCUGCAUUUACCCUCACUUCACCUGGUUCUAGCAAAUUCCAACUUAAACCUUUUAGACUUUCAGCUAACUGAAAUUCCCAACCAUCCUCUGGCUUGUCCCUCACGAUUCUUGUUUCACUGAUAUCAUUAGAUGAUCCUCUGUCUUUCGCCCAAACAGGGAUUCUUAUAAUACCAUGUUUACCAUCUCCAGCUUCCAAAUUUUCCUCCGUGGAGCUGCUGUCGACGUAAGUCACAGGAAUACUACCUUGAAUGUUUACAUGUCCACUUUGUAUAGUUGGUUCGAUAUUUGCAUCAAAAACAAAACGGCUUGUUGGGGUUACAGAGGCCAAUACUUCAGCUCUUCCCAGAUCAAUGCCUCCGAUGGUGCCGUCAAGAAGUCUAAUUUGAACAUCACAUUCUGGUUUUGCGAGAGUGCCUCUCAAAUCUCCCUCCAUGUGUAAAAUACCUUUUAUUGGUGUCACCCAUUGCCUCAGAAAGUGAAUUGAAUCUGUAGUUGAUGAUUCUAGAGCCUGAACUAGAGCUGGUAUAAGACCAACUGGGAAAUUAAGCACAGCAAAGUGAAGAUUUGUUAGCGGGCCAAGAAUCGAUCCGUCAGCAUGAAGGGUGGCAUUAUCCUUCUGAAUAAAUAACUUAUCAAGACGCAGGCCAUCAUUAUUGCUAUAAGAACCAGAUGCCAGAACACGCUGUGUCUUGUAUGUGCCCCACUCCCAAUCUUCACCAUUGAAAUCAAAAUCAGCCUGUAUAAAUAAAGCCAUUAGGAAUCAUGUUUACAUAUAAUUCAGAGAAGAUUGUCUUGCUGAUAGUGCCAUUUACAAAGUCAAGCUUCUGUAAAUAUUUCUUCCAACAUACCAAAAGAUGUAGUGGAAAUAAACCGCUAACACAAAUACAGUACAANNNNNNNNNNNNNNNNNNNNNNNNNNNNNNNNNNNNNNNNNNNNNNNNNNNNNNNNNNNNNNNNNNNNNNNNNNNNNNNNNNNNNNNNNNNNNNNNNNNNNNNNNNNNNNNNNNNNNNNNNNNNNNNNNNNNNNNNNNNNNNNNNNNNNNNNNNNNNNNNNNNNNNNNNNNNNNNNNNNNNNNNNNNNNNNNNNNNNNNNNNNNNNNNNNNNNNNNNNNNNNNNNNNNNNNNNNNNNNNGGGGGGGGGGGUCAGUGAAGCUCGACCAAAAUGCUAGAAGUGUUAGUGUAAAGACCACUAUUAGGAGUUCAUCAAUAAUUACCGGGGCAAAAGUCUGAUAGAGUUAAUAUUUGAACAUGCUCACCAUAGUAUCUCCAUUCCCUCCUCCACUGGCAUCAAGAGAACCACGCCAGUAACCUCUCAGUUCAGCUAAGGCCGGAAGAGUUAUAUCUUCAAUUGUAUCAUCAUCCAACCAGUCGUGAUACAUUUCAACUGCCUGUUGCAAGGAAUGGGAUGAAGUUAAUAUAAGUAGCAUGUCAUAAUAACAAGGGAACCCGCUAAUAAGGGAAACCAUAACUCUAUGCCUGUGAUACAAUAUUCUAAACUCACUAUCUUUAGUACCUUUAUCUGGUCACGUAGGCUUUCAGCAUUGAACCCAACAGAAUGCAAGCAUUGCAUGAAAAGUUCCUGCAAACAAAUAUAGGAUCAAAUGGCUGCUACCAUCUAGCAGACCAUAAACACCAACGAAUAUUAUAACCAACAAAGGAAAAGAAAGAUAGAAUCACAAAUACAGAACAAACUGCACACCUUCGAUCUAGAACGAAUAACUGGAUCUGUACUUCGUGAAAGAAGUCUUGCCAGGGGAAGUAUUUCAGCUACUUCAGCAUCGGGAACUUCUAGUCUCAUCCUCCACCUGCCCAUUGAAGACAUAAUGCUACCAAGAUGCCCUCCCAUUGCUUUCUGUAUAAACCCAUUACCAUGACUUUCCAUAGGAAAUCUAUCACGUGUUCCUGGAAACACAUACUCCCCUUGAAGCUCAUACUUGCUAUUAGGUUGCUCUAGGACUGACUUUUCCAUUGUAAUCUGGGUAUUGAAAAUACAAAGAAUAGCUAGUAAGUCAACACAGCAAGGACUCACAACUACUCCCUCCGUCCCAUAAUGUAGGAUGUUUUUGGACACUAGUGUAGUGUCAAAAAACGUCCUACAUUAUGGGACGGAGGGAGUAGCUAUUAAAAAUAAGAUAAGAACCUCACUGGAAUGUAUAACUAGUGUCAAGAAAAACAACAAAUGCAUGUUAUACAUCAAUUGUUUUAUGUUUGUCAUCUGGGAAAGGCUAACAUGGGGGAUGCUAGGAACCAUGAAACUGAGUUAUAACAGUGUUUGAAGUUUCCUUACUCCAAAAAUUCUACUAAACAACUACCAAAGAGGUGGCAAAAUUCUUGAUUACAACUUACAAGUAAUACCAAACACCUGCUAAAGGUAACACAUGAGAUAUGGCUUCAACCACACAAAACAAGAAAAUAUAUGUGGGAGAAAAAAAAACUCACAACAUCACCACUCCAUCGAGCAGCUAUAUCAAGUGCUUCACCAAACACACCACUAAAUUUGGGACGGACCACUGAUAACAAACCAUGACCUCUUCUUUUCUGGAAAUUAAGCUGAACUUCUGCCUGUAACAAGAAAAGAUCUGUUACAUUAGACAUCAUUGGUGGAUUCUCCAUUUAGCAAUUGAUCACAAUUGAUUUACAACAAAUACUGGAGAAUGGAGCUUCCACAUUUAUUUAUUUUUUGAGCAGAAUUGGAGCCUCCACAUUCGACAUAUACAACUUCUCAUGAAAUGCAAGAAAAAAAAGUAUGAAUACUUAGUUAUUACUUAAGGAGCAGAAGACCACGUUGUAGUUCAAAAAAGUUUACAUCAAUUACAGAAAAUUUAUAUGGCACAGAAUACAUAAGCUAUGGACAAAUAGCAUAGCAUUAAAUAGCAGAAAACCAGAAGGUGCAGCACAGAAAAUGACAGAUGCAUAUUUUCAAUCCGAAAACUCCAUUAACUACAUCAGCACAAUAUAACAUUUUAUUAGACUGCAUCAUGUAGUUAACUGAACUAACAUCUCUCCUGCGAAAUUUAAAUUGCAGAAGUGCUUUACUAUCUGACGGCAUGCAAGCAUCAUGACUAAUUACAACUCACGUGUAUGAGACAUAGAAUCAACCAAACAGAGCUACCAACAAUACAGAACCUGAAAACAGAUUACCUAACCAAAAAAACACGGAGUAUGCCAUACUCUCAUCUAGGACAAUAUUACCUUCUGAACAAAUCCACGUAAUGAAGCAAGCUCCAGCUCGUCAAGUGGCAAAUUCCGAACCUUUACGACCAGAAGACAAGUAUCAACAAUAUCGAAACGGACUCUACAAGUCUUAUAAUGUUCAAGAAAGAUUGCUGGCAAGGAAAAUACACACACUAACACAACACUAACAGUAGUAGAGUACCUCCAAAUUAGUCAAACUUUCAGGAUGAUAACAUAUAUUAGACUUCAGCUGCCCCUUUUGGAGGAAAAUUGAUAGAAGCCUUUCAUCUUGAAUGGCGUCAUUUGUACCAAAAAACAAUGGCCCGUUCACUUCUAUGGAAAUCUUUUCAUCAGGCCUGCCGGUAGCAUUUAACUAUGUUGCAGGGGAAUAGGGAUAGUAAGAGGAAGAUGUAAGGGAAAGAGAACAACAUGUAGUCUAUGCAGAUAAAAAAUAAUAAAAAUCAACAUAACUACCAAAUGCAUACAGCACUCUCUUCAAUUAUUUGGAAGGUGCGCUUGACAUAGAAAAUCAUCACAUCAUAUAUAUCCAAGGAGAAAAUCUUUAUAUUGUGUCGAACCAUGGAGUUAGAAUUAAAGCCUCUUAAAGAGUUAAAGUUACUGAACUUAUGCCCGUUGCUCUCAUAAGUAAAAUAGUUGCUGCCAGAAUAGUUUGUGUGGGUUAAAAAUUGCUGUGAUUUGUCAGAGUAUGCUAUUAUUGCAAUGCAAUCUGUUAAGCAGCAUAAAAUGGUAACAGAAGUGAAUCAAUUUGGAUAGUGAAGUGUACCUUUAAGUGGACGAAUGGCCCUCGAGCCUUGGAGAAAAUAGUGAAUGUAUUAAAUACAUCCAUUCUUUCUAUUUUUAUUUGGUUCUCGUUUUGUAUUGCAAGGUAAUGUGCACAGAUUUUAGUAAUUUGAAGAAGUAAAAGACGGGAAGUGUUUAAAUCCAAAAUUCCACUUUACAGACUGUUACAGAUCUGUCUGUGCAUGCCACUAUUGAUGAUCCAAACUAUAGCACUUAGUGCACACAACCGAGGCACAUACAAACAAAUUGAAUUAGGCUAUAAAAUCACAUACAAGCAAUGCAAGUCAAAUUCAGAGGACGAAACAACAAAACAGCAACUUACCAUCACAGAAUCUCGUGACAAGGAAAGAAAACCAGUAGACUGAGGUGCCAGCAUGAGUUGGUUAAGUUUUAUUCCUGACAGAGAAAUCUCCCCAACAAGCCUUGACACAUCACUCUCAAGCUUACUUUGGUCCAUGAUACUUUGUAAAGCGCCAUAUAUCUUGUCAUCAACUACCUGGCUAGGUUUCACCACUUUUCCUUGAAAUUUGACCCUUCCAGAUGCUUUCAAAUGUAAUGGCCUCGGUGUAUCAAAAGGUAUUGAAGAAGCUAUAUGAGCAAAUUCAAAGCCUCGCAUACGUAAAUCCAAAUCAACACUCUCCACAACUAGUGGCAUAAUCUUUUUCAUUUGAUACAUCUCCUUGUACAGCGAGUAGUCAUCAAUAUAUGAUGUUUGAAUACGAGUAUUUAAGUCAAAGGAAACUGAUGAUGAGUUAACCAUGAUAUAAUCAUGUGCAAUAACAAUAUUGCCCCGUGCAUCAGAAAAGGAAUCUUCUGCAUUUGGUGCAGCCCAUUUGAUAUCAAAUUUCCUGUCAUAAGUUUUUGUUGUCGUUAGAAUACCAGAAAAUACAUAGCCUACUUGGCCAUUAGGACUCCAGAUGAUAGAUGUAAUGUAAGAUACUCACGGUCUAUUAAGCGGGCCAGAAAGUCUAGUUUCUCCAUUGAGCUCGCCAAUUUUCAGUGGGAUCAGCUGAAUGCCUCCAGGUAUGUACCGAUGCAAAACCUUAUCAAGUAAAAUGCUCCCGGAUAAAUUAAUAUCCAUAGCAGAAUCAUCACCUUCCCCCUGCAGAGAUCUAAAUAUGUAUUAUACUUGCAUAAUGUGGUAAAUUUAUUUUGCAUCAUAAGAACAGCAGAGUAUCUAUUGGAUUUGUACAGCUAGUACAAAAAAAUCUGUGUAAGCUCUUAGGAAUACGCUGCUAGUAUUCCAUUUAUUUCGGUAGAGUACAAACUGAUAAGUUAUACACCCUCCGUCCCAAAAUAAGGGCCGCUGAUUUAGUACAAAGGACACUUAUGUUGGGAUGGAGGGGGUAGUUGCUAUUUCCAAUGCUCCAGGGGCUCAAUAGUAGACAUUCACUGUAAGCCCAGAGAAAUAAACAAACAAAUGGCUUAGCUAGGAUGUAAUUAUGAUGUCUAUGGCGAGGCCAAAGUUGUGAAUAAUGGACCUAAGAGUUUGGAAGGUUCUUCAUGAAUGCAUUUGCAUAGUUCGUUUCCAUAUGUAUUUUCAAUUUACAAAGUCCUGAUGGCUACUCUACGUUUUCGAAUAUUAUUCUUGAUAAUGAUACAGGAAGAACAAAUGCUUGGAUGACUAUAGAUGUAGAAAAAAGUCUGCUGAAAAUUAGCGCAAACAUGAAAAGAUGGCUGGCUGGAAGUGUAAUCAAAUAAUCAAUAGUCACAAUACCUCUGGGCAAAUCCAUGCAUUACCAGCCCCUCGAAUUUCUCCACCAUCCAAAAGACAUGCUCUAAUACCAUAUAAGUCUGCAACCUGCAGCCAGUCAUAACAAAGAGAAAUUAGUUGUUCCAAUUUCACAAACUUCAAUAACGGAAAAAAAUAGUGGCUCUAUUUCUACUCACACAGUUGUCAAGGUUGAAAGUGAAAUUCGCUGAUACAUGAGAGAAGGGAAUAUGAUCAAACGCAGCAACUGCACCAGCCUCCUUGUUUUGAAUCACAGCUUCAGAAGCUGCAGAUGGAGGCAUACCAGAUACUGAAAGGGACUUCCUUGAGACAAUCCCACUUCCAACAAAAACAGGAGCAUCAAGAGGUCCUUGACAAUUAAAUACAGCAGUAACAGCACCAGCCACCUAAAUAAGAUAAGAAGUGUACCAGCAGUUAAGUGGAUGAACAUGAAAAUUUAGCCAAAAGAUUUUUUUAAACACAUACAUCAUUGAUAGAGAUCAUCCUAAGCUAUUGUUAACAAACAAAUGAGACAGAACUGCUUAAAUGGUAUUUCAGGAACAGUUUGCGGUGCUGAACUGCGAUGUGUUGAUCAUAUUUUAAUAUUUUAUAUGUACUGCAGAAAAUAGCUACAGAAAAAAAAGGUUGAUUGAAGAAAUGGUAAUAUUAAGCUGGUCAGACAAACGGAAUUAUCACUAUCCAUAAGAGUGGUCAUUUUGCUUCAUCAAGAAGUUGAUUUUUAAUGCUAAGAACCAUGAUAACUGGUAUUUUAAGAUAAAUCACAAGUGUCAUUGUCGGGCAAUUCAAAUGAGUGGAAUAAACCAUCUAUCAUACAACUACAUAAAUAAGUCAGGUUGUGCAGUGCAUUUUAUAUUCAAGUCAAACUUAUUUUUCGUGUUGUGCCAUAUAUGUGGUUUCAGUAUAGCUAACUCCAGAUAUGAGUUCAGAUAGAUCAUCGCAAUGAAUCGGCAGUACAAAAUAGAGUCUGUUGUUUUUCGCUGCAUGCAGGAAUCUAGUAUUUCCAAAUAAGUCGAGUAAAGUAUGUCGAACCGGAAACAUCAGAGGCUUCAUUUUCACCGACUUCAUAAGCGCAUUAACUUCAACAGAUGGAACCUGAAAAAAAAGAUAUCAAGUAAAUGUAUGAGUUGCUGUUUAGGGGACUACAUGUAUAUACAAUGUAAUUAUCAACUUAAAGAUACCUGGCACAUUAGAUGGAACUCUCCAUCCUCAGGAUUUAAACCAAAAUCGCCAGAAGUUUCAACCGGAACAUCACCAAACCAACCACUUGCAUUAUGCAGAAAUACUCUUUGACCACGGAAUGACAGAGUUGCCACUAUUUCCUGAAUAUGUUGAGGCUUCCAUUAAAAACUAUAAUCACUUGGAAUGUUUGCAGCAGCAAUAUUUGGAAAGUAGUUACUAUUUGCAUAUCAAAGUACGGAAAUUCGGAAGACAUCUGAGCACAUGUGGCCUAGUUUUCACAUCAGAGCUAAAUGUCAGCGUCUGAAAUAGAUGCUUAAUUUGAAAUGCCAAUGACUGAUCUGUUUCUUACUACACUGCAGAUCAACAGCACCCACCCUGAGGUGCCCUGAGAACACGCUAUAUAGCAGCCACUAAUAUGACAAUAUCGCUUCGCCAACACCUCAUUCUUCAGUCUCUUUCUCCCUUAGCUACAUUAUGCCAGAAACUUGUGCAUCCAGCAUACAUGUGUUGAAGUGUGGUAUAUGUGGAUUGCCUAGCCCUUUCCAUCAGUUUGGACUUUUGGUUUUGUUGGUUAGUGCACGAAGCUCAACCCAAUGGAUAUCAUUUGUCAAUACUGGAAACCAUAAGUAUAAAUGUUGGUUAUAAUGAAGUAUGGCCAAUUGUUGCACAUCAAAAUCCAAAUUUUGGGUAGUCGAUAAAAUUUUCACGUUUUAGUAAAUUCUAGGCAAACCCACAUAGUAUAGAAGUUCUUUCCAGGAAAAUCAACAAUAAUGAAACUGGCCCACCUGAUGAUUCAUCUAUUAUUCCUGGAAACCCUCAUGAAUUUCUAGCUAUACCCCUGAUUCUAGUCAUUUCAACAAUAUUCACCAGCGACCAAUUGUGUUUACUUUUAAAGAAGUAACUAGGCACUCAUUUUUCACCCGCAACACAACACUCUAGUUUGGUAAAGUAAGGGGUCAAUGACCUACAAGAAUAUUGGUAGCUCAGGUUAAUGGCAAAUCAACAAGAAGACAUUAAAGCCAUGUUAAUCUGUCUUGUGCCUAUGAAAACUGAUUCCGCGCAAGACCCUACUUAUUACAAACAUGCAGAGUUGGAAAAACAAAUGAGAUAAGGUAUAAGUAUACCGAAAAUGAUGAGGGAGCAUCUAAUAUCUGAAAACCUAGGCCUUUCACAUCAAGCUGGCCAUGAAUGCUCGGAAAACUAUCACCUUUCGACAUACAGAUAUGCACCUGGAGAAGGAAAAGGAGAAAUAUUGCUGUACGCAUUUAGUAUCUCCAAGCAUGAAAAAAAGCAGUUCCCGUGAGGCAUGUAUGUCUAGCACUCUAGAUGUAGCAAUGUAGCAUGAACCUUGUGGCAAGUUCAGUUAUUCGUUAAGUGCAUGUGGAAGUCAUGUCCAGGUAUUGUCUAAAUUGUAUGCACAAGUGGCUGAUAUUAAUAGUGAAAUUGAACAUGCAAGAGAUUAAGUUUAGAAAAGCACCUCACCAGUUGCUCUUCCUUUGUGCCAGACAACUGGUAUUUCUAGGAUACGCUCAAACAGCUGCACAUGAAAAAUUGCUCUUCAAUACAAGAACUAAGAACUGUAGCAUCUUGUAUACAUAAUAAAAGUAGGUGCAUUACCGGGGCAAAAGCAUUGACUACAUUCAGAUUAGCAUGCCAUGUUUGCUCCGCUAUGUCAACAAAGACAUCUGUAGAAAGAUAACCCCCUCCUUGAGAAGUUUGAUCUUGUCUCCACUCCAUGCAGUUCCCAGUGACAUGCACAUGUACACGAUUAUAGGAGUUUUUGAACUUGACGUGUCCAUUAGCCUGUUUCAUUUCCCUACAAUAGUAAGGCAACGACUACAAACUUAGUUGAUGUUCAUUUAUAAUGCCGCAGUUGCACCCCAGCCCCCUUUUGGAAGAGCCUAUAAUAAUGCACUGAAUAAUACAAGUAAGAUAAGUUGAAAUAUACUGCACCCUCAUUACAGUAAUUUACUUGACAAUAUAACUCCUGAUAAUAAGAAUUAACAAUAUAAAUCCGAACACCGGUUAUGAGAAUAUUUAUUGUUCACAGAAAUUUAAUUGUUGGGGAAUGCAGUAAAUUCAUGGGAAGAGACAGAUGAUCACAAAAUUACCCCAAUAUAAGUUCCAACAGUGAUACACUAAUACAUUUUGAAAAUGCACAAGAAAGGAGAAGAGCAUAUAUUUGCAAUAGAAAUGGCAAAUGAUGAGGUCAAACCUUGGUUCCUGAUCACCGUAUCCUAGAAGCAUCAAGUUCCCUCCACUGAAAUAAACAGAAUCCAGUGUGAUAGGAAGCAUAUGCUGAGCCCCACCAGGAUUUAUCUGGUCAACCCCUUCUACGAGUCCAGCAGGGGCAUCUUCAAGACCGAUAGCAAAUCGCGACUUCAACUUUUGAAUUUCAACACCCAGAGAAGCAUAUGGUGCAUUAAAAUGAACACGGGAGCCCUUUGCCUGCAAAGGCCAAAAUGACUGACUAAUAUUAUCUUCAGAAAGACUCUCAAAUUCCUCCAACAUGCGGCCUUGGUACAAGUUGCCCUCGCCAUGCUGCACAUCUUCCAAAUGGUUGCAUACCAACAUUUUGUUAUCGGAGUGAUGCAAACUAUGCUGACUAGGUUGUUGAUUAUGAGAAUGCUCCGCAUGCACAUCAUUUGCAUCGAUGAUUGGCAUUGCACUUGCAGAUUUGCCUUCACCUAGACAGUCCAGACAACGACUACUAUUUAAUGGAAAUUCACCAGAAUUCUCUGGUGCAGUAGCAGAGCUGACAAUUGGUGCAUAAUUUGAAGUGGCUUUGCCAGAACCAGCAUUUGCAUGACCUCCUCCGUUAGAUGAAUUAUUCCCAGAACCAGGGGAUGAGUUAUCAGGAUUACCACUCUCCAUGUUUUCAAAAUAUGCCACAGCAGCCUGUGCACUACGCCGAAGGAUCCUUUCCUGAGAGGAAUUGUCGAUGCCUGAUACCACCUUGUUGUGACCUUUCCUCUUGUAUCUUCGCUUUCUAGGGUUCGGGAUCAUCCUAGACCAGAAGUUGAUGCCCGGGAUACGCGAUUUCACACCGAAUGAUUUCUCCAGAUCCGCAUGCUUUGAGCUAGAGUCAAUAAUGCCUGGAUCCAUGUGUCGAUCGUUCCUGUGCAUCUCAUCAGCACAGAGGGGCGGGCUACUGGAUUUCCCAUUUCCGACAGGUCCAUCGUCCUCCAGCAUCUCGUCAGCCGAACGUGAAGUGGAUUGGCCACUGGGAACUGCGUAUCCCCUUCGAGCAGAUUCCCUAGCAGCUCUGUCCCUCUCCUCGUCCCACUGCCCCCCAGCCUUCUCCCUGGCGAGCCUCCUGGUCUUGGUACGGUAGUCAAUGCCCUCCUCCGCCGAAUUCCUCUUGGGCUUCCCCUCCUUGGACGGCGCGGGGAUGCCCAGCCAGGAGAAAUCCUUCCUCUGCGCGACGAGCGCGGUGGGGUCGGAGAGCAGGGCGUCGACGACGACCCGCCCCCUCCUGAGGCUGGCGAAGGGCCUGACCCUGAUCUUCAUGACGGGCACCUCGGCGCAGGAGAACUCGUCGGCGCGCGGGCCGACGGAGCAGGUGUGGAGCGUGAUCCCGAGCGGCGAGACGCUGCGCGCCCCGCCGACGCGGACCUCCCGCUGGAGGUAGUCCCCGAGCGCGGCGCAGGCGGCCGGGAGGAGGCGCGCCUCGACGAAGGCCCGCGCACGGUGCUGCGCGUACCAUGAGAGCGCUGCGGCGACGGAGAGCACGGCGGCGAAGGCGGAGCAGCGCACGAGGAAGAGGCCCUCCCGCCAUACGGAGGCGAGGGAGCCGAUCAGGGCCCGCAGCGGCGGCGGGCGGUGGUGGUCGUGGCCGUGGCUGGGGAGGCAGUCGCUCGAGUCGGAGACCCUGAGGCGGAGCAGCGGGGGCGGGUCGAGGCGCGCGAGGGUUAGGAUGGGCCUCGGGGCGUGGCGGCGGCCGCGGCCGCCGCGCGCGCGGCGAGGCCGGCAGACGAGGAGGGGCGGCGGCGCGAGGGAGGGCGAGACGCGGAGGCAGUGCGACAUUGCGCCGGGCUGGCCGCCUAGGUGACCAUUUGCGUGCGGCGGGAGAAAGAGAGAUGGGACGGGUGGGUGGAAUAGUAGUCACCGGCAGUGGGCGAGCCGAGAGAGAGAGAUGGGCGGGGGAGAGAUGCUUGCCUCUCGCUGGGGUCGUUGCCUACUUGCCGUGCUCGCUUCUUUUUGGAUUUUGCCGCAGAUGAUUUGUCUUCCCUUCGCCUCUUCUUGUCUCGCCUCCUCUUUGUGAUGAAAGCGAAAGACCAGACAAGCUAAUUAUUUCGCUUCUCUCUCCCGUACAAAAUGGCCUACCAGCAGCAUAUGGAAUGAAUGUUUUCAGAGGGCAAAAAUAACAAAGAUACUCCUACCAAAGAAGGCAUCGGAAACCUAAAGACAACCAUGAAGCAUCAUCCACAGACACAGAGCGAGAGGAAAAGUACCCAAGAGGCCCUGUUGGCCAUGUUGUUGUCUAUCAUAAGUUCAACCGGAUCAACACAAUUCAAAACACAAUUACAACGACCGUUCUGGUGACCACGAAGGCCUUCCAGAAUUCCGAAACCGAAUAUCAGAAAGGCGCUCCAUGGUCACCAUAAAUACACAACUCUGGGGAGGACUGGAUGGGGAAAAAGUUUAUUGCGACGGGUCCAAAACGAACAAGGGGAUCAUUCAUUAUCGAAACUCAGGAGCAUCUCAAAACUUGGGCGGCCCGUCGCGUUUUU
Molecule: long non-coding RNA, 29381 nt
Filed under: Triticum aestivum (bread wheat)
Lineage: Eukaryota; Viridiplantae; Streptophyta; Magnoliopsida; Poales; Poaceae
Description: long non-coding RNA (TAES_LNC026914)
Rfam family: MIR1120/MIR1122 microRNA precursor family (bases 19794-19880)
Source: RNAcentral